RNAcentral lists this ribosomal RNA (253 nucleotides) under uncultured bacterium. RNAcentral describes it as "partial 16S ribosomal RNA". It matches the Rfam family "Bacterial small subunit ribosomal RNA", at positions 524 to 776 of the family's 1533-position model. The record is from RNAcentral.
UACGUAGGGUGCGAGCGUUGCCCGGAUUUAUUGGGCGUAAGGGGCGCGCAGGCGGCUACGCACGUCCGUUGUGAAAUCGCUCGGCUCAACUGGGCGGGGGCAGCGGAUACGGCGUAGCUGGAGCAAGCUAGGGGGCAAUGGAAUUCCCGGUGUAGUGGUGGAAUGCGUAGAUAUCGGGAGGAACACCAGUGGCGAAGGCGGUUGCCUGGAGCUUUGCUGACGCUGAGGCGCGAAAGCGUGGGGAGCGAUCCGG